This 497-nucleotide ribosomal RNA is filed under the name uncultured bacterium. RNAcentral describes it as "partial 16S ribosomal RNA". It matches the Rfam family "Bacterial small subunit ribosomal RNA", at positions 28 to 507 of the family's 1533-position model. The record is from RNAcentral.
GAUGAACGCUGGCGGCGUGCCUAAUACAUGCAAGUCGAGCGAACGGACGAGAAGCUUGCUUCUCUGAUGUUAGCGGCGGACGGGUGAGUAACACGUGGAUAACCUACCUAUAAGACUGGGAUAACUUCGGGAAACCGGAGCUAAUACCGGAUAAUAUUUUGAAACGCAUGGUUCAAAAGUGAAAGACGGUCUUGCUGUCACUUAUAGAUGGAUCCGCGCUGCAUUAGCUAGUUGGUAAGGUAACGGCUUACCAAGGCAACGAUGCAUAGCCGACCUGAGAGGGUGAUCGGCCACACUGGAACUGAGACACGGUCCAGACUCCUACGGGAGGCAGCAGUAGGGAAUCUUCCGCAAUGGGCGAAAGCCUGACGGAGCAACGCCGCGUGAGUGAUGAAGGUCUUCGGAUCGUAAAACUCUGUUAUUAGGGAAGAACAUAUGUGUAAGUAACUGUGCACAUCUUGACGGUACCUAAUCAGAAAGCCACGGCUAACUACGUG